This 402-nucleotide ribosomal RNA is filed under the name uncultured bacterium. RNAcentral describes it as "bacterial SSU rRNA". It matches the Rfam family "Bacterial small subunit ribosomal RNA", at positions 355 to 774 of the family's 1533-position model. The record is from RNAcentral.
UGGGGAAUAUUGGACAAUGGGCGCAAGCCUGAUCCAGCCAUGCCGCGUGAGUGAUGACGGCCUUAGGGUUGUAAAGCUCUUUUAACAGGGACGAUAAUGACGGUACCUGUAGAAUAAGCCCCGGCAAACUUCGUGCCAGCAGCCGCGGUAAUACGAAGGGGGCUAGCGUUGUUCGGAAUUACUGGGCGUAAAGCGCACGUAGGCGGAUUGUUAAGUCGGGGGUGAAAUCCUGAGGCUCAACCUCAGAACUGCCUUCGAUACUGGCGAUCUUGAGUUCGGAAGAGGUUGGUGGAACAGCUAGUGUAGAGGUGAAAUUCGUAGAUAUUAGCUAGAACACCAGUGGCGAAGGCGGCCAACUGGUCCGAUACUGACGCUGAGGUGCGAAAGCGUGGGGAGCAAACA